Molecule: ribosomal RNA, 253 nt
Filed under: uncultured bacterium
Lineage: Bacteria
Description: partial 16S ribosomal RNA
Rfam family: Bacterial small subunit ribosomal RNA
Source: RNAcentral
UACGGGGGGGGUAAGCGUUGUUCGGAAUUACUGGGCGUAAAGGGCUCGUAGGCGGCCAACUAAGUCAUACGUGAAAUCCCUCAGCUUAACUGGGGAACUGCGUGUGAUACUGGAUGGCUUGGAUUUGGGAGAGGGAUGCGGAAUUCCAGGUGUAGCGGUGAAAUGCGUAGAUAUCUGGAGGAACACCGGUGGCGAAGGCGGCAUCCUGGACCAUUACUGACGCUGAGGCGCGACAGCGUGGGGAGCAAACAGG